GAGGGUAUAGCUCAAUGGUAGAGUAUGUGCUUAGCUUACACGAGGUCCUGGAUUCAAUCUCCAGUACCUCCA
RNAcentral lists this transfer RNA (72 nucleotides) under Camelus bactrianus (Bactrian camel). It matches the Rfam family "tRNA". From Rfam's summary of the family: Transfer RNA (tRNA) molecules are approximately 80 nucleotides in length. Their secondary structure includes four short double-helical elements and three loops (D, anti-codon, and T loops). RNAcentral also lists the same sequence under 2 other names. The record is from Rfam by way of RNAcentral. Lineage: Eukaryota; Metazoa; Chordata; Mammalia; Artiodactyla; Camelidae.